RNAcentral lists this ribosomal RNA (443 nucleotides) under uncultured bacterium. RNAcentral describes it as "partial 16S ribosomal RNA". It matches the Rfam family "Bacterial small subunit ribosomal RNA", at positions 338 to 795 of the family's 1533-position model. The record is from RNAcentral.
CCUACGGGUGGCAGCAGUGAGGAAUAUUGGACAAUGGGGGGAACCCUGAUCCAGCGACGCCGCGUGAGUGAAGAAGUAUUUCGGUAUGUAAAGCUCUAUCAGCAGGGAAGAAAGAAAUGACGGUACCUGACUAAGAAGCCGCGGCUAACUACGUGCCAGCAGCCGCGGUAAUACGUAGGGGGCAAGCGUUAUCCGGAUUUACUGGGUGUAAAGGGAGCGUAGACGGUGAUGCAAGUCUGAAGUGAAAGGCGGGGGCUCAACCCCCGGACUGCUUUGGAAACUGUAUGGCUGGAGUGCAGGAGAGGUAAGUGGAAUUCCUAGUGUAGCGGUGAAAUGCGUAGAUAUUAGGAGGAACACCAGUGGCGAAGGCGGCUUACUGGACUGUAACUGACGUUGAGGCUCGAAAGCGUGGGGAGCAAACAGGAUUAGAUACCCUGGUAGUC